GACGAACGUUGGCGGCGUGCUUAAUACAUGCAAGUCCACUGAAGCAGUGGUAGCAAUAUCGCUGUGGAGGUGGCGCACGGGUGAGUAACACGUAGGUAAUCUGCCUUCAGGUCUGGCAUAACUCCGGGAAACCGGGGCUAAUAGCAGAUGAUGCAGCGGCUCGACAUCGAGACAGUUGUUAAAGCUAUGGCGCCUGAAGAUGAGCCUGCGUCUGAUUAGCUAGUUGGCGGGGUAACGGCCCACCAAGGCAACGAUCAGUAGCCGGUCUGAGAGGAUGAUCAGCCACACUGGAACUGAGACACGGUCCAGACUCCUACGGGAGGCAGCAGUAAGGAAUAUUGCUCAAUGGGAGAAAUCCUGAAGCAGCAACGCCGCGUGAGGGACGAAGGGCUUUUGCUUGUAAACCUCUGUAGUGAGAGAAAAAAAUCCCAAUCUUUGGGACAUGAUGGUAGCUCAAAAGUAAGCCCCGGCUAACUACGUG
RNAcentral lists this ribosomal RNA (481 nucleotides) under uncultured bacterium. RNAcentral's name for it is "partial 16S ribosomal RNA". It matches the Rfam family "Bacterial small subunit ribosomal RNA", at positions 28 to 507 of the family's 1533-position model. The record is from RNAcentral.